GAUGAACGCUGGCGGCGUGCCUAAUACAUGCAAGUCGAGCGAACAGACGAGGAGCUUGCUCCUCUGACGUUAGCGGCGGACGGGUGAGUAACACGUGGAUAACCUACCUGUAAGACUGGGAUAACUUCGGGAAACCGGAGCUAAUACCGGAUAAUAUAUUGAACCGCAUGGUUCAAUAGUGAAAGACGGUUUUGCUGUCACUAAUAGAUGGAUCCGCGCCGCAUUAGCUAGUUGGUAAGGUAACGGCUUACCAAGGCAACGAUGCGUAGCCGACCUGAGAGGGUGAUCGGCCACACUGGAACUGAGACACGGUCCAGACUCCUACGGGAGGCAGCAGUAGGGAAUCUUCCGCAAUGGGCGAGAGCUUGACGGAGCAACGCCGCGUGAGUGAUGAAGGUCUUCGGAUCGUAAAACUCUGUUAUUAGGGAAGAACAGAUGUGUAAGUAACUAUGCACGUCUUGACGGUACCUGAUCAGAAAGCCACGGCUAACUACGUG
This 497-nucleotide ribosomal RNA is filed under the name uncultured bacterium. RNAcentral's name for it is "partial 16S ribosomal RNA". It matches the Rfam family "Bacterial small subunit ribosomal RNA", at positions 28 to 507 of the family's 1533-position model. The record is from RNAcentral.